GACCUGUUAGGUUAAUUAAACUAUAUAAUUUGCUGUUAUAAGAUUAGGGGUUG
This 53-nucleotide transfer RNA is filed under the name Southwellina hispida. RNAcentral's name for it is "tRNA-Ala". Lineage: Eukaryota; Metazoa; Acanthocephala; Palaeacanthocephala; Polymorphida; Polymorphidae. The record is from RNAcentral.